CGGGAUUAGAUACCCCGGUAGUCCACGCCGUAAACGAUGCACACUAGGUCGCGGUACCUCUCAUGGUUUCGCGGCCGAAGGUAAACUGGUAAGUGUGCCGCCUGGGGAGUACGGUCGCAAGGCUAAAACUCAAAGGAAUUGACGGGGGCUCACACAAGCGGUGGAGCAUGUUGCUUAAUUCGAGGCAACGCGAAGAACCUUACCUAGGCUUGACAUGUAUGGAUUAACUUUUCGAAAGAUUAGCCACACCCUUGGGUGGAACAUACACAGGUGCUGCAUGGCUGUCGUCAGCUCGUGCUGUGAAGUGUCGGGUUAAGUCCCUUAACGAGCGCAACCCCUAUCGUUAGUUACUAACGCGUUAUGGCGAGGACUCUAGCGAGACUGCCGGUGUCAAACCGGAGGAAGGUGGGGAUGACGUCAAGUCAGCAUGGCCCUUAUGCCUAGGGAUGCAAACGUGCUACAAUGGUACGGACAAAGCGAUGCGAUACCGCGAGGUGGAGCAAAUCGCAAAAACCGUGCCCCAGUUCGGAUAGCAGGCUGAAAUUCGCCUGCUUGAAGCCGGAAUCGCUAGUAAUCGCGUAUCAGCUACGACGCGGUGAAUACGUUCCUGAGCCUUGUACACACCGCCCGUCAAGUCAUGGAAGCUGUUAGUGCCCGAAGUCACUUCGUUUCAGGAGUGCCUACGGCAAGAAUGGUGACUGGGACUAAGUCGUAACAAGGUA
This 722-nucleotide ribosomal RNA is filed under the name uncultured bacterium. RNAcentral's name for it is "bacterial SSU rRNA". It matches the Rfam family "Bacterial small subunit ribosomal RNA", at positions 773 to 1498 of the family's 1533-position model. The record is from RNAcentral.